AUGUGGUAAUGCCGGAUGCUCCACAUGACCUCAUGGGAUUGUGGGAAAGGGUUACUGGUAUGGGAUGGGGUCGCGUCCUAUCAGCUUGUUGGUGGGGUAACGGCCCACCAAGGCUUCGACGGGUAGCCGGCCUGAGAGGGCGACCGGCCACAUUGGGACUGAGAUACGGCCCAGACUCCUACGGGAGGCAGCAGUGGGGAAUAUUGCACAAUGGGCGAAANCCUGAUGCAGCGACGCCGCGUGCGGGAUGAAGGCCUUCGGNUUGUAAGCCUCUUUUGAUUGNGAGCAANNNNGAGUGAGUGUACCUUUCGAAUAAGCACCGGCUAACUACGUGCCAGCAGCCGCGGUAAUACGUAGGGUGCAAGCGUAAUCCGGAAUUAUUGGGCGUAAAGAGCUCGUAGGNUNNNNNNCNCGUCUGGUGUGAAAGUCCAUC
RNAcentral lists this ribosomal RNA (433 nucleotides) under uncultured Bifidobacterium sp. RNAcentral's name for it is "partial 16S ribosomal RNA". It matches the Rfam family "Bacterial small subunit ribosomal RNA", at positions 158 to 606 of the family's 1533-position model. Lineage: Bacteria; Bacillati; Actinomycetota; Actinomycetes; Bifidobacteriales; Bifidobacteriaceae. The record is from RNAcentral.